UCUGGAUCCUUACCAAGGUAGUGAUGGUAUAUGCCUUCUCUCAAUAAGUAUGUGGUAUUUGUGGUAUAAGGCAUAGUGACAUUGCCUUCUUCCUCACCCUGCUCUAAUAAGGCUUUAAUAUCUGGAGCUCAUAGGUGGGAGAUAUAGUAUACAUACUUACAAGACAAGUAUUGCAUAGUCAAACCAUGGAUCCAAAGAAACAAGUCAAUAAGUUUAAUCAAGAUGUGCAUGUGUGGCGAAUGAAUGGUGUAUGGUGAUGAUGGUGGUAACAAUGGUGGAAGUAUAAUUCUACUUUGCUCUUUGAGGGGAUACAUACCUUCCUUGCUUUUUGAAACUUUAUGAAAGGAGAAUGAGAUGCUCUAUAUUUUUCUUUUCUCUCAGGUGGGUAUCUUGUACCCCUAAUUCUACUGUCGGACACUUGUCCAUUUUUACCUCUCGUCUCACUUUUUCUUUUCUUUCGAGGUUCCGAGCACUUGCUCCUUUUUAUUUCCUCGUAUCUCUCUCUUUUUUUAGAGCACUCAUCUCUUGAGAUAAUAUAGCAAGUGGUAGUAACAAGAUAACUUGAGCAUUUAUUUCACAAGGGAAAAACAGAAAUAUUUUUGGUUAUUCCCUCCCGGAUUAGGAGUAGAAUAUUUUUUUGGUGGUUCUGGAGAUGGAAAUGGAUGGAUAUAUGUGGAUGGUACUUCCGGAGUAGAAGUAGCAUGUAUGAGUGAACGUGCAAGUGAAAUCUUGAUUUAACCAGAUGACAAGCUCCUAGGGGUCUACACAGCUUGACCACACUCAAUGCUCAUAAGCAGUAAAUAGUAAAUGUGUGGCUCAAAGUCUAGCAAGCAUGUAUAUAUGGCUGUGGUAGGAAUUUAAACUCUCAUCAUAUAGGAACUCAUCAUGCAACAUUUUAAAGAUUUUCAAAGAUAAAAUUCUCCAUAAUUCUAGCAUCUCUAGGAAUAGAUAAACAGCAGCCCAACCUUCCCAUAUCGUAUCCGUUAACAACUUAGACUUCAAAUCAAGUUUUCAUCCCACAAGUUUAGGUCUAGAGCAAGCUUUAAAUUAUAACAGUUGUUGACACCGUUUUUGGGCACGUGUCUAGGAUGGCAGGAUAAGGUGGCAGUACGAUGUUUACAAAGUGGGUUGCCGAUGAGGAUGGUUGCUGAUGAGGGAGAAGUUGAACGUGACUAAGUCCACAGGCAGUAAUAUGGUGCCGAUGGCUAGAUAAGAAAGUCUGCCGAUGACUAUGGCAAAGGGUCUGCCGAUGAUGCAAAGAGGGAGUCCGGAAGCUGCCGGUCGUUAUGUGGAGGAGUUUCGGUUUGUCACGAGGGAUAGUUUUGUUAUUUCCUUAAUUAUUUGCAUCGUUUUGUAUACGGAUUCCGUGUAAUUUGGAAUUCGAAUUCUAAUCGUGUCUGGUCGUAGCUCUUUGAGCAGGGUAUAAAUAUAGACCCUAGGGCCUUGUAAUAAAAAAUCAAUCAAUGAAUCAAACACACGUUUUUACUCAUAUUCCAGCAUUUACUUUUCGACGACUUCGUCAUACUUUUUCUUUUUGUUACGAGUUCUUAGGAAUUCGUCGACUUAAGCUCGGCGUGUUCUCAAGUUCCGUGUGAGUACCUCUUAGCCGUGACAUCCGGGCGCAUCGCUGUUGUCAGGACUAAAGUAUUCGAGUUAUCACCUUUGCCGAUAGCAAGGUCAAAUCGGCUGGCACGCCUUAACAUUUGAAUCGGGUAUUAGCCCUUUGUGUUUGCAGACCAGUUUUGCAUCAACACAUCUUUUGGCACGCCCAGUGGGACAGGAUUCAAGAUCAAGAUCAACAUGUCGAUCUCUGACCUCGAUCAAGAGAACGUCAUCCCCGUGACGGAGGCCAACCUCAAGGAUGAGCAGAAGCAAGCUUUUGCCCAAGCCAUGGAAGAGUUCAAGCAGCAAUGCCUGAGGUCUUUCAGCAUAAACAGGAGCGGCGAAGUGGUCCAGAAAGAUGCACUGCCGGCACCACGGCAGGUUACCUUUGACGCCAAUCCUGGCAAGCUUCAAGAUAUGGUUGACAAUGCCAUCAAUCGAGCGUUGAUUAACCAAGCUGGUGUACUGUCUAAUACGGUUUUCAAUGCCGUGGCAAGAACUUUCAAGGAAGGACAAAUCCCACCAGAUUAUGUGGGCCCCUCCCAUCAUCAGCCAACGGCACCAGAGGUCACGGCUCCAUCGGCUGCCUUGACGACUGCAAGUGCACAAUCUGCCGUCCCUCCAAGUACAUCAGGGACUACUGGCGCACUAUCUAUGCCGAUGACAACCAACCCACAAAUUUCAGUUGGGCAGCAUAAACUGACAACAGAUAUGUUGGCAUCGGCAAUGUCAGGGUUGACUCUUCCUCCCAACUGGUGGGGUUACGGUAUGCCUCCAGAGUUGACACCGGGAACAUCACAAAUAACUGACAUGAGGGGCAAAACUCCUAUGACAUCGGCACCUCCCAAUGCGCCGGUGAACCAGAGUCCUCGGUAUACCACAACUACUACUGCAAGGCCUCACACUGGAAAUCCUCAAGAUUCAAUGUUCCAGAUGCCCAACGCAUCGGCAGAGUCAAUGCUGAUGCAACAGAGGUCUAUGGCCCAGUCGGGGUAUGUCAAUUCAACGACAGUACCCAAUUACCAAUCAUCGGCAGCACCUAUGCCGAUGAACGCUAAUAAUGGAUGGCUUGGACAGCAAGCCUUUCCACAAUCGCCCCAGCAGAGUUACCAGACUACAGGGUUCCAGCAAGGGCAGGUCUAUCCCGGGUUCCAAGGUCAGGGGAUUCCCAACCAGCCAAUGAAUUUUGGACAGCAACUCGGGGGACAGCCAAUCGGUGGACAGCAGUUUGGUGGUCCGCAGAUUGGAGGACAGGUGAUCAAUACAAUGUUCCGUGCAGAUCACGUCCCGAACAGACACGUGGAGGUUCGCCACCAAGUGCCAGAUCCGCAGCCGCCUCAUCGGCAAGAUGCCGAUGCAUAUUGGGCCGAUAAGAUUGCUGAAGUAAUGAGGGAACAAUUUGGGAUAAAACCCAAAGUCAACACUUAUUCUUAUCGGACACCGUAUCCUCCCGCGUAUGAUUUGAUCCCGCUUCCACAUCGGUACAAGGUACCGGAUUUUACAAAGUUUUCCGGGCAGGACGACACGUCAACCAUGGAGCAUGUCAACAGGUUCAUCAUUCAAUGUGGAGAGGCUGGUAACAGGGACGAAUUGAGGGUUCGUCUAUUUUCAUCAUCAUUGUCUGGAUCGGCCUUUACUUGGUUCAUAUCAUUACCUCCCAACUCAGUAAUUACUUGGGCCUAUCUAGAGAAGCAAUUCCACAAAUACUUCUUCUCGGGGGUUCAUGAGAAGAAGAUCACCGACUUGGUCAAGUUGAGGCAACGUAAUGAUGAGUCGGUUGAGGGUUUUGUGCAGAGGAUACGAGAGGUCAAGAAUAAAUGCUAUAGCUUGGUUCUGGAUGAUCGGCAGCUAGCCGAUUUGGCUUUCCAGGGUUUGUUGCCACAUAUCAGGGAUAAGUAUGCCUCUCAGGAGUUCGAAAGUUUAAGUCAUUUGGUGCAGAGGAUUUCUGAUCAAGACAUCAAGCCUUUCGAGCCUAAAAGAGCAUGGAAUAGGAAAGUGUCAUUUGUCGAUGAAGCAACAAGCUCAGAUUCUGAUGAAGAACCAGUAAUCGGCUUGGCAGAGUGGGUAAAAAACAAGAAGCCGAUGUCUUGUCCUUUUGGGCAGAAGGAACCAGAGAAGUUUUCUUUUGACACCGCUAAGGCUGAUAGGAUAUUUGACUUUCUACUUCAGGAAGGUCAGAUCAAACUGUCACCUAACCAUGUGAUCCCAUCGGCAGAAGAGUUGAAGAGGAUGAGAUAUUGCAAGUGGCAUAAUGCAACUUCCCAUGACACCAACGAGUGCAAAGUAUUCAGACAGCAGCUGCAAUCGGCUAUAGAGUCAGGGAGAAUCAAGUUUGACAGUUCCAAAGCCCAGAAGCCGAUGAAGAUAGACCAACAUCCUUUCCCGACAAACAUGUUGGAUGCUAAGGGGAAGGCUAAGGUCUUAACAUCGGAGACAGCUGAGAAGAGUGCAUCGGUAGAUCCUCAGCAUCAAGUUACUACUGCCGAUGCAAGAAGUAAGGGCUUGGUCCAGGAAGGAACUAGCUCAGGAAGGCCUCCUCGGUCUGGUAUCGUCAUAACUCAUAGAAGGCCUCGAGAAAAUUGGCAACAACGGGAAGAUCGGUAUCGGCGCCAGCAGGAAGAUUAUCGACGGGAAGAAGAAAGACGCCGACAGGAGUGGAAUCGGCACAGGGAUCAUUGGAAUUGUCCAUUCUUCAUCCAUUGUUGGGAGGAAAAUAUCAAGCUUCCUACUGUCAGAGACUGCCCUGAGUGCAACGGUUAUGAUCGGUACGAUGGGAUCGAUCGGCAUUAUCAUGAUGAUGAACGGCGAUUUAAUGGGCCGAUCAGAGGAAGGGUGUCAGUUCAUGACCGGCUGGGGGGCAGAUUUAGUGGGCACGACAGACUUAGUGACCGUGUCCAGUAUUUUCCCAGGAACCAAGAAGAGCUCGAGGAAAUGGCUGAUGCGCGGGUUCCUGAUGAAUUCAUAUUUUGCAGGGAUGCUAACACACAUCGUAUGGAGUCAAGGGAGAACCGACGCCCGACGGCAAGGCAAAGGCCACUUCCUCCAUGGUGCCCUGGAGGAUUAACCAAGACACAGAAAAGGAGAUUGCAACGUGAAAGGCAAGAAGAGCUAAACAAGGGAGAGAACUCUGGAAGUCGGCAGCCGUCAGACACUAAGAGGGAAGGUCCAUCGGCAGGCGUCAACAUGGUCUUCAUGUUGCCGAUGGAGUUUCUUGCACCAGCCAGUGAUGAUGAGUUGGAAUUUUCUGAUCAGAUAGCUCAGUUGGCUCUGGAUCCGAUGAUGGCUAUCUUUGAGAAACCUACCGAUGACGAGAGGCAGCAUCUUAAAGCUCUGUUCCUCAAAGGAAGGGUUGAUGGGCAGCCAAUGACCAAGAUCCUAGUUGAUGGUGGAGCUGCUAUUAAUAUUAUGCCAUAUGCAGUAUAUCGGAAGCUUGGGAAAGGGGAUCAAGAUUUGACCAAGACCGAUAUGAUGCUCAAAGACUUUGAAGGAAACGUGUCUCCAGUCAAGGGGGCGAUAUGUGCAGAGUUGACCAUCGGCAGCAAAACCUUGCCGACAACUUUUUUCGUGAUCAGCGAAAAAGGUGCUUACAACUUAUUAUUGGGAAGAGAUUGGAUUCAUGCCAAUUGUUGUAUCCCAUCUACAAUGCAUCAAUGCUUGGUUCAGUGGGUAGGUGACAAGAUUGAGAUUGUCCCAGGAGAUUCUUCUUAUGUUAUCGCAUCGGCAGAAGCGGAUACUUACGAAAGGACCAGGUGCAUUUCAGGAGAAGUUUGGGAGAAAGAUUUUCUCAAAGUUGUCGAUUAUGAGAUUCCACCGAUCCAAGCAGUCGGUUCUGAUGACGGUUUUUAAUGGAUAGAUUCGCCGAUGAUGGAAAAUUAGGCCAGGGAUUCACAUCGGCCGAUGAUUUGGUAGAAGUAGAUAUAGGUAGUGGUGAUAAGCCUAGGCCUACUUUUAUUAGUGCUAAAUUAGAUCCUGAGAGUAAGCAACAAUUGACUAGUUUGUUAAAGGAAUAUAAAGAUUGCUUUGCUUGGGAUUAUACCGAGAUGCCUGGUUUAGACCGAUCAAUUGUUGAACAUCGGUUACCCAUCAAGUCUGGAUUUCGGCCACAUCAGCAACCAGCCCGCCGAUGUAAUCCUAACAUUCUACCUGAUAUUAAGGCCGAAAUCACCAAACUUAUUGAAGCUAAGUUUAUUCGGCAGUGUCGGUAUGCCGAGUGGAUUUCCAAUGUUGUUCCGGUUUACAAGAAGAACGGGAAGCUUCGGGUGUGCAUUGAUUUCAGGAAUCUCAAUAAAGCUACGCCGAUGGAUGGAUACCCAAUGCCUGUCGCCGAUCUACUGGUUGAUGCUGCGGCUGGUCAUCAGGUCAUCAGCUUCAUGGAUGGUAAUGCAGGUUACAAUCAAAUAUUCAUGGCGGAGGAGGAUAUUCCGAAAACCGCAUUCAGGUGUCCUGGUCAUGUUGGGCUAUUGGAAUGGAUAGUCAUGACUUUUGGGUUGAAGAAUGCUGGUGCUACUUAUCAAAGGGCUAUGAAUUUUAUAUUUCAUGAGUUCAUCGGCAAGCUCGUGGAGAUUUAUAUUGAUGAUGUGGUGGUUAAGUCUGGAGAUUUCUCAAAGCAUCUUGCCGAUUUACAAAAAGUGUUAGAGUGCACAAGGAAGCAUGGAUUGAAGAUGAAUCCCAACAAGUGUGCAUUUGGUGUAUCGGCAGGGCAGUUUCUUGGUUUCAUGGUACAUCAGAGGGGUAUUGAAAUUAGUCGAAGAUCUAUUGAUGCCAUCAAUAAAAUAGUGGCCCCUACCAACAAAACCGAGCUUCAAUCCUUGAUCGGCAAGGUAAAUUUUAUCAGGAGAUUUAUAUCAAAUUUGUCUGGUAGGAUUCGUGCUUUCAGUCCUCUUCUUAAAUUGAAAGCCGAUCAAGAGUUUAUUUGGGGAGAAGAACAGCAGUUGGCUCUGGAUGAAAUCAAGAAGUAUCUAGUAAAUCCUCCAGUUCUAGUUCCACCUCAACAAGGGAAGCCCUUCAGAUUGUAUUUAUCUACCGAUGGAUCGGUUAUCGGUUCAGCUUUAGUUCAAGAAUUUGAAGGGAAAGAAAGGGUAAUUUAUUAUUUGAGUAGGAGGUUGAUUGAUGCUGAAACCAGGUAUUCGGCCAUUGAGAAACUAUGCUUAUGCCUAUAUUUUUCAUGUAUCAAGCUGAGACAUUACCUGUUAUCGGCCGAAUGCACUGUUGUUUGCAAAGAUGACGUGGUCCGAUACAUGCUAUCUAUGCCGAUUAUGAGUGGUAGGAUCGGUAAAUGGAUUUUAGCGCUGUCGGAGUUCGAUUUGCGUUACGAAUCGGCUAAGGCAGUCAAAGGGCAGAUUAUGGCCGAUUUUGUGAGUCAGCAUUGCGGUCUAGUGGAAACCUUGGAAAUUGUACCCUGGACGCUCUUCUUUGAUGGAUCUACCUGUGACCGGGGGGCAGGAAUCGACAUUGUAUUAGUUUCCCCUAAGGGGAGGAAGUAUGAGUUUUCCUUGCCGAUUGUUGCCACAUCAACAAAUAAUCAGGCUGAGUAUCAGGCUCUGAUCAAGGGAUUGGAGUUGUUAAGAGAAGUUCGUGCUGAUGCUGUUGAAAUAUUCGGGGAUUCUAUGUUGGUUAUAAAUCAAUUGGCCGGAAGCUAUGAAUGCCGAAGUGAAGUUCUCAUAACUUAUUUCGAGAGAAGUAUGCAACUGUUAAAGGAAUUCAAGGAUUUCCGAUUGGAGCAUGUUCCCCGAUUGCAUAAUGAAGACGCUAAUCGGUUAGCUCAGCAUGCCUCGGGAUAUCAGCCAAUGAUUAAUGCGACAUCGGCAGUCGGUGCCGGUGAUUGGAGGAAAGAAAUUAUUGAUUAUCUAAAAGAUCCAUCCAAAAAAGUUGAAAGACGGGUUCGAUUUCAAGCAACCAAGUAUGUGCUCCUUGAAAAUGAAUUGUAUUAUCGAACUAUCGACGGAAUUCUUCUCCGAUGCUUGGGUGAUGAUGAAGCUAGAAGUUUGAUGGGGGAAAUCCAUGAAGGAGUGUGUGGAGCGCAUCAGUCAGCUUUUAAGAUGAAGUGGAUGAUUCGAAGGAAUGGAUAUUUUUGGCCAACCAUACUUGAAGAUUGUUUUAAAUAUUUCAAGGGAUGUCAAGGUUGUCAAAAGUUUGGUAAUAUCCAGAGAGCACCCGCAUCGGCUAUGAAUCCUAUAAUAAAGCCUUGGCCAUUCCGGGGAUGGGCCAUCGAUCUGAUCGGCCAGAUUUAUCCACCAUCUAGCAAAGGGCAUAAGUUCAUUCUAGUUGCCACUGACUAUUUCACUAAGUGGGUUGAAGCUAUUCCUUUGAAGAAAGUCACAUCGGCCAAUAUGAUUGAUUUUGUGAAGGAGCAUAUUAUUUACCGAUUUGGGAUUCCCCAAACGAUUACUACCGAUCAGGGCACCAUGUUCACAUCGGGGGAGUUCGAUGAAUUCGCAAUCGGUAUGGGAAUUAAAGUGUUGAAUUCUUCUCCUUAUUAUGCUCAAGCCAAUGGGCAGGCCGAAGCGUCUAACAAAGGAAUUAUCAAGCUUAUUAAACGAAAGAUUGAAGAAAAUCCUAAGCGGUGGCAUACAUUAUUAAAUGAAGCAUUGUGGUCUUAUCGGAUGGCUUGUCAUGGAUCGACCAAAGUAUCACCCUAUCAAUUGGUGUAUGGACAUGAUGCAGUGUUGCCUUGGGAAAUUAAGGCUGGAUCUAGGCGAUUAUCUUUUCAAGAUCAAUUAACUUCCGAUGGUUAUGCCACUUUGAUGACCGAUGAAUUGGACGAUCUAGCAGGGCAUCGGUUAAAAGCUUUAAUGAGUAUAGAAGAAAAUAAGAAGAGAGUUGCUAGAUGGUAUGAUAAGAAAGUGAAGGCUAAAGAGUUUGCCGAUGGGGAUUUGGUAUGGAAAUUAAUUUUACCAAUUGGGACCAAAAGUUCGAAGUUUGGAAAGUGGUCUCCUAAUUGGGAGGGUCCUUAUCGGAUAAGUCGAUCGGCUCCUGGUAAUGCCUACAUUCUAGAAACCCUCGAAGGAAUUGAAUUUCCCAGAGCAUUAAACGGCAAAUAUUUAAAGAAGUACUACCCCAGUAUAUGGGUCGAUGCAUAGAAGUUUAGGUACCGAUAACACUCCUAUCGGCUGGAUCCAAAUAUGCUUGGGGACAAGACUUGGUGUUUCAAAAGUUUAGGUGCCGAUAACAGUCCUAUCGGCUAGACUAAAAGCUGAGGAAGCAGGAAAGCGCAGAUACAAUGCCGAUGGAAACUCUAUGUGUUAAGCAGCGUCUGGAUUUCCGAUAUAGCGCGUAGCCGAAUUUGGUUGGCUGCUUCUAUCUCCUUGAUGUCAUCAUCGGCAGAACCUUCUAUCGGCUUCAGCUUCUUCUUCAGUUGAAGUGCCUUGCGACCAUGAGCAUUUCGCUCGUGCUCAAGAAGCCUCAUGGUCUCUGGCAAUUGGCUCUCUUCCUGUUGGGCUUGGGACAGAGCGUUCUCUACUUCCUUGAGCUCCGCCAACAGGGAUUCUUUUCUUGCCGAUAGAUCGGAUAUCUUCUGCUUCAGCGCGUCUCCAGAAGAUCUCAGGAUACCGAUGUUCUUGUGUUUCUCAUCGGUCAAAAGCUUCUCUUUCCUCAUUUCAUCGGAGAGUUGAGUCUGAGCGGCUCUAUCGGCAAGCCGCCGAGAAGCUCUUUGGUACUGCAGCUGGCGACUCUCCAGAUGAGCCGCUUGGAACAGGAUUUCUUCAACAUCGGCUGGGAUUUGGCCUCUGAGAGUUCUGAACAGGGUCUUGGUAGGGUCGGAAUCAUCAACCAAUUGCGCUGUGUCCUGGUGAAGGAGAGCUGACAAUUCUUCCAGCCUGACCCUGAUCUCUGCCGAUGUGAUGCCGACCGUCUGAGAAGAGCUUGCUUCUUCACCUUCUUCUUUAGAGAGAUCGAUGGCGCAGGAGAACAGGCUAUCGGGAGAAUCUUGUUCCUAGGAGGGAAAGCAAAAUUAGCUCAUACUCAGAGAAUCGGCAAAUAGUGCUAACGGUAAACGGUGACUUACUUGCUUCAAGGCGAUCUCUUGUCUUUGACUGAGAAGUGCUGACGGAGCUGCAGGCUGAUCGGCCAAAGAUGCCGAUGGAGCUACAGGUUGAUCGGCUGAGAUUGCCGAUGGAACGAUAUCAACUGAAAGAAGACAAAAGGAGUUAUGAGACUAAAUAAGAAUAAGUUCAUCGGUAGCGAUAUUGUUAAAGUAUGUUACCUGGAGGAGGGACAACGGUUGUCUGAAUUGGGAGAACUGCCGAUGGUAUAACUGGACCCACUGGGCCAGUUGUUUGUUCACCCAUGUCAGCUGAUGUAUCUUCUGUUUGAGAUCCUUCCUGUUGGGGUUCUUCUAUCUGUGGUGCUUCCUGCAUAGGUGGGGGGGAUGGUGCUUGCUGUGGCUGGGCUUCUGGAGAAGAAGGAGAAUACUCCACCGGAAUUGGAGAUACCGGAGGAGGAGGGGGAGUUGCUACCUUCUGGCGCUUUGUUCCAGUCUUAGCACCCGUGGUGCCCUUUCUCUUGGGUUGGCUAGACUGGGGGGCAUCGGUACUCUCACACCUGGCUUUCGCCGAUGCGCGGUUUGCUGCAAUAAUGAACAAGAGUUUAUAAGCAUAAAUAUAGCCGAUAUAAAGAUAGUCAGCAUAAAGGAAAAGAUUUGACAAAUUGCCUUGAAAGCCCGCGCAAGAGUGGGAGCAGCAACCGUUGGUGAUGUCUGGGUUCUUCUGGUGGUGACUUUCCUGAGGCGUACACCCCGAUGCACGAUGGAAGCUAGAGUGGGAGCAUUGUGGCCGAUUGAGGAAAUCGGGCCUGAUGGAAACAAGUCGAUCGGCCUGCCACUCCUGCUAACCAAUGGAGGAAUAUUGUCAACCUGCAAAAGGAAUACAAGGGUAAGCUGCCGAUGGAGGUAAUAUUGAGAAAAUGAAACGUUGGUUUGAGUUACUUACAGUGUCAUCGGGAACUUCGUAUUCGGAGUCAAUCAUGCCGCGGUAUGAAAGUGCCGAUCUGCAGAAUAGAUGCUCUUUCCAUUCUGCCCACCAUAACUUGUAUGCCUGAGUGAUAAAAGCAGCCGGAACCCAUUCUGACAGAUCUACAUCUAUAUCGGCGUUUGGUGGUAGUUGGGCUGCUCGAGUCCACUCAAGAAGGUUGUUGAUAGUUUCUCUGGGUUUUAUCACAUCGGCAUAAGGAAGUGCAAUCGGCAACUGGCCGAAAGCUAACUGGCGAGCUAAUGCCGAUGGAUUGUAAAAUUCGUAAGUUUGAGGGGAGGUUUUUGUGCUACCAAAGAAAUUCACUGGAAUGAUUCUGGGAGUCACAAUUGCCAUCAUCACCUCAUUGUCCCUGUCGAGAGCUUCAUCAAAUGGAUUGAAGGUCAGAGGGAGCAUGCUAUCUGGGUCAUCAUAAGCCAACCAUGGUCGUUCGUCUCUGGUCAAACCCUCAUACAGAGUCUGGAAGAAUUGGCCGAUCUGAUCUGGAUUACCCCCUGAACCAGGCAGAACUAUGACAGCUUCGCCAAAGUUCAAGGGGGCGCGUGUUGCCGAUUCCUCUUCACCCAAUACAUGGUUUUCAGCUAUAUCUCUUGGGAAACGCUGUGUGAACAGGUUGAAGUUGAGACGCUUGUGCAGAUGCAGAUUGAGCCACAUGUUGACAAACCACCAGGGGCCUCCCAAGUUGCCAGUGGAUUGGCCGAGCAGAAGUUUCUGGGCUACUUGAUGGAGAAGGUGGUAAGCAGCGCCAAGCAAGUAUCGGCCGAGAGGGAAUCGGCCACCGUUAGCCAGUCUUUCUGCUGUCGAUAGGUAGACAGAAGUCGGUCCUGCCGAUCGACCACAGAAUACAAACUUGUCCAGCCACAUGUUCAGAAAGGUGGUUUGUUCCUUUAUGGUGACAGAUCCUUUCCCACGGUACUUCUGAAUGUACCCCGACCAACCGCCGAUAGCGCGAGUCUCCACUUUGGCACUAGGGGCAGUAUCAAAAAAGUGGGUGCUAUCGGCAGAAGAUAUAUCUAGACCAGUAAGCAUGGCUACAUCGGCAAGAGUAGGAGAAGCAGGGCCGUGGCCAAAGGCAAAAGCAUUGAGGGUGUCUGACCCAAAGUAGGAUGCAGCUAUCAGCAGUGACUCGUUCCUAUGCAUAUCGGCAAUGGACAAUCUAAUGCAUUGGGCUAGAUUCCUUUCGCCCCACUGAACUUCAUUAGAGUUGCUGACCCUCAAGAACCAGUCUUUCCACCCUACAGUUGGGCUGGGCCAAGAGCGGAAGGUGUCCUUCCACAGAUCUAAGGAAAAAUUUUCGGCUCUGAAGGGGACCCUGUUGGUUUCUGCGUUGAUAAGGUCAGUUGGAUCUGGGUCCCCUAGAGGGCCGAGGCAUUGAAGGUGUGGUUGAUCGGUGGGGAUGACAAUUUUGUUGGACAAUUCCUAGUGAUUUUGGGCGUAAAAAGAAAUACAAAGAGGAAAGAAAAGGAAGAUGUUCAGUAAAAUGAAUUGCGAGUGAACAGGGAUAUGAAGAAAAAUACAGAAGACGGGGUGGAGAUUUGACCUCAGGGACGACGAACCCGACGGCCAUCUUGCUGCGAAGGAAGCGUGUGAAGGCGCCGGAGUUGGUGAAGAGGGGUACUUGUCGGAGACCUUAGGAGUUUUUGGUGGCGCCGCCGCUGGAAAAGUAAAGUUGGGUAGUAGAAUGGUGUGAUGGGGAAGGAGUACCCAAGAAGGAACUAUUUAUAGGACAAAAAGGGCAAGGGCAAAUCCGACUUAUCUCUUUGCCGCAUCCGAGAAAUCCGAGGGUACUCAGGUGGAUAUGGUAACUGUUCGCACGGUAAUCCAGGGAUUGUGCAGGUGAUUUGACGGGAAGCGGUCAUUAUCUGAAGAUAUUUUACUGUGCGAGAUCUCCUGGUCGGUCCAUCGGCAAUAUUCUAUAACGGUCAUAUUGCCGAUGGGCGGAUAGAGGGGAAGUAACCGUUUGUGCGAAUAUCCUAGUCAGAACAUCGGCAGAUCUUUGUAACGGUAUUGUUGCCGAUGUACGACUGAGAAAAAUGCCCGUUUAGGAAGUUGGGGAUUUCGAGAAAUCUGCGGAGGAAUAGGAUCAGAGUUGUUCAGAUUGAGGUUGUCGGUUACCAGAUUAGGAGCAUUAAUUGCUGGAAAAGGCAUCAUUACUGCAGAGAAUUUCGGAGCAUUAAUAGUUUUAUACUCCGAAACUGGGGGGCAUGUGUUGACACCGUUUUUGGGCACGUGUCUAGGAUGACAGGAUAAGGUGGCAGUACGAUGUUUACAAAGUGGGUUGCCGAUGAGGAUGGUUGCCGAUGAGGGAGAAGUUGAACGUGACUAAGUCCACAGGCAGUAAUAUGGUGCCGAUGGCUAGAUAAGAAAGUCUGCCGAUGACUAUGGCAAAGGGUCAGCCGAUGAUGCAAAGAGGGAGUCCGGAAGCUGCCGGUCGUUAUGUGGAGGAGUUUCGGUAUGUCACGAGGGAUAGUUUUGUUAUUUCCUUAAUUAUUUGCAUCGUUUUGUAUACGGAUUCCGUGUAAUUUGGAAUUCGAAUUCUAAUCGUGUCUGGUUGUAGCUCUUUGAGCAGGGUAUAAAUAUAGACCCUAGGGCCUUGUAAUAAAAAAUCAAUCAAUGAAUCAAACACACGUUUUUACUCAUAUUCCAGCAUUUACUUUUCGACGACUUCGUCAUACUUUUUCUUUUUGUUACGAGUUCUUAGGAAUUCGUCGACUUAAGCUCGGCGUGUUCUCAAGUUCCGCGUGAGUACCUCUUAGCCGUGACAUCCGGGCGCAUCACUGUUGUCAGGACUAAAGUAUUCGAGUUAUCACCUUUGCCGAUAGCAAGGUCAAAUCGGCUGGCACGCCUUAACAUUUGAAUCGGGUAUUAGCCCUUUGUGUUUGCAGACCAGUUUUGCAUCAACAACAGUUAUAUCUAAACUUGAGAGAGAACUUCAAAUUUUAAAAUUUGGCAGAGCAACAAUUCAUCAUAUCCAUGCUUGAGUUUUAUUUAGAUACAGAUUAGCAUAGCCACUUUAUUUAUUUAUUAAACACACUAAGCAAAAGAUAUAUAUAUAUAUAAGCAUAAAAUCUUUAUUUGGUUUUCCAUAGUUAUAUUUUAAUAUAGUACAAGUAUAAAGAUAGAUAGAUAGAAACACUUAUCGGGAUAAAUGGGGGUGCUCUCCCCCAAGCUGAAUUUUGACGUAAUUUCUCUUGAUGUAGCUAGCAGGUGGCAGAGGUGUAUUUGAAAGUCAGCAGCAUUCUGACAGCGAUUAGAAUGUCCUCCGUCUGCUAGUCUUCUUGAUUCUUAAAUUCUGUGGAGCUCAAAUAGACAACAAAGCUUGUGGAACUGAUUAAGUGUUAGCAUAAAUAUCUAGCCUUUAUCAUGUUGAGACUCCUCAAUAAUUAUUACUCCCUGUUUUUAUAUUUUCAUUUUAUAAAGCAGAAAAGAAAUAUUUAUUUUAUUUUUAUGCCACCACAGUGAAUGUACUUAUGGGUUUUAUGCCACUCGUAUACUCACAUGGGGCUUUACUGUUUUUCACAUUUUUAUUUUCUUUUUAAGAUAGAAUGAACAUGAUUAACUAAGCAAACUAUUUUAAAUAAUUGAAAGGAAAAGGAUAACUACCAAGUUUACCUCUUGGCAAGGCGUUCGGUGCUUUUAAGUCCUCCGAACGGGACUCUCCGUUUUCUUCAAUUGUCCUGGGAUUCGUUGGGUGGCGGAGUCAGUACUUCCGGCAGCGCCUCCUCUUCAUGUAUAGUAAUCUUCUCUUUCCAUACCUAACUCGGUGCUACGGUCUCCUCUGGAUAAUUCUGUUUAAACUCUACGUCUUCUGAACUUACAACUUCUCCUUCAUAGUCUGCCCAUCCGUCCUUGAUGAUUUGCCUCCUCUGGUUGCGGUUGCGUCGUUGUCUUACCUGCUUAGAUUUUUCAACGAUAUAGUUAGGGUUAGUAAAAUAGCGGCGUACCUUCUCUGAGGGGAAGUGCAUAUGGACUUCUCCAGUUCCAAUGUAGAUGAUUGCUUUAACGGUGCUGAGGAACGGUCUUCCAAGGAUGAUGGGUGGAUCGUAUUCAUCUUCUCCCUUGUCAAUAACUUGAAAGUCUGUGUAGACAAAAUGAUCGUCUAUUUUGACUGGGACAUCAGUUACUGUUCCUUUAACUUCUCGAAACGUCUGAUCUGCCAUCUGGAGCUGAAUGUAUGUUGGUGUUAAGGGCAUGGUUCCGAACAAGAGCCGAUAGGUGACUGUGGCCAUUAUGUUGACGCCCGAUCCGGUGUCGCAAAACGUCUUGUAGAAGCUGUAUCCAUUUAUGGAGCAAUAGAUGCUUGGCAUUCCUGGGUCGUCCUUCUUGGUCAAAAACGGUGACUUAAGUUGAUGAUCUUGGCCUCCAUGAACUGCAGUGACCAUCUUAGCUGACUCGGUCCACACUUGCUUGUUCCUGUUCCUCCUGUUGGUCCUCUUUCUUGAUUCACGUCUGGGUUGAUCUGGAAUUUGUGUAGUCUUGUUCUUGAAGAAAAAUGUCUCCUUCCUCCCUUUGAUGUAGAAACUGAUCUUGGCAGCACUGGCGUAGAUGAUAGCUCCCAUGGUGUUCAAGAAUGGCCUCCCAAAGAUGAUAGGUGCCCUCUCAUCAUUUCCGGUCUCUACCACUACGAAGUCUGCUGGGGCAUAUAAGGUACCAACUCGGACACAGAGGUUCUUCAAUAUUCCUUUUGGAAAACUUAUCGUCUGAUCUGCAAACUGCAAACACAUGGUUGUCUCUAAUAAAGGAUAUGUAAAGAAUUUUUCAUAGAGUACCCUGGGUAUAAUGUUGACGCUAGAGCCAAAGUCACAGAAUGCUUCUGGGACAUCCACCAUGCCGAUGGAGAUCGGGAUGACGGGGCAUCCUGGAUCACCUCUCCUGACCGGCAGAAGGUCAGUAGUGAAUUCAGUGACGGGGUUACUCCAAUUAUUACCUGCAUCAAACAUGUCUACAAGAUUUGCAUAUUCUAAUCCUUCCGGUUGUGAUGGUAUACCGGGGUUAGUAGUAGGAACAGGAGCAGCUAUUUGAUUUAACUGAGAUUCAAUCAUUUUAUUAAAUCUAAUUUGAUUCUUGAUGGCAGUAGAAAAAUUAUCCAUUCUAUUAUUUAUAUUUUCUAGCAUUUUAUCAUUAGAUGCCAAUUUCUUAGAUAGGUUAUCCAUUAGCUUUACUUGAUUAGACACUAACUCUCUCAAAGGUGGAAAAUUAUUAUUAUUGUUGUAAGAAUUGUUACCUUGAUAAUUACCUGAGUAGUUAGGCCUCUGUUGAUUCCAACCUUGAUUUUGUUGAGGACAGUUGUAGUAGUAGUUGUUGUUGUUGAUGUAGUUCACAUCCUCAAGUAUCUCAGGGCAGUGGUUGCCUGAGUGUCCAGUGUCUCCACACUCCUCACAAGUCAUGUGAGAAUCGUAGAUGUGCAUAACCUCCUUCUUAUCUCCAGCUCUAUCAUCGAGCUUCUUCAUGAGCAGGUCUAGCUUUGCAGACAGCAUGUCUACCUCCUUGAGCUGAUGCAUACCUCCACUUCUCUUGCAUGUCUGGGUCCUCUCUUCAUUGCAGCUUUGGUUGGACGCCAUCUUCUCCACUAGAGCUGUGGCUUGUGGUAUAGUAAGUGAUAAGAAUGCUCCUCCAGCUGCAGCAUCCAUGGUUUCUCGGGCACUGUUGCCGAGCCCAUGAUAAAACGUCUGCAUCAAUAGCCAACUCUCCAUUCCAUGAUGGGGACAUUCUAGGAUGUAGUCUUGAAAGCGCUCCCAUGCUUUUGGAACAGAUUCAUCAUUUUGUUGCUGAAAACUUGUAAUCUUCCCACGGAGAGCAUUGGUCUUGCCCAUGGGAAAGAACUUAGCCAGGAAGUUUGUUGAGCAGAGUGCCCACAUAGUAUUCUUCUCCUUUGUAGCGUAAAACCACUGCUUCGCUCUUCCUAACAGUGAGAAUGGGAAGUGGUGAAGUUGUAUAGCAUCUUUGGAAACUCCUGAUAUGGUGAAUGUGUUGCAUAUCUCCAGGAAGUGUUGUAGAUGAGCACUAGCAUCUUCGUGUGCCUUCCCACAGAACUGGUUGGAUUGCACCAUGUUGAUAAGUCUAGGCUUGAGCUCAAAGUUGCCGUCGAUCUCUGCAGCAGGUCCAGUGCGGAUGUUGUCCGUAGUGGGAGCUGAGAACUCGCGGAUCGAUUUGUUCGCCAUGGCUUCGAACUCUGAAGACAAGUUCCGGUGAUCUUCUUGAUUGGAUGAAGCUUCUUGCUGAAGUGUUGAUGAUCUCUUCUUGAGCUUGGCUCUUGUCUUCUUGAAUAAUGCUUCGGGAUUGUCAACAAAAUUUCCUGGAAGAUGUCUUCUAUUCAUACAUUCCCCUGCAUAAGAUAAAAUAGAAAAAUAUCGGGGUAAAACUGUAUGAGAGAAUAGAUAAGCUCAAUCAAAUUAGUGAUGCGAAUGAUAACUCAAAAUCUUUUUAUUCCAUUCCUGAUUAGUAAUCAACCUUCCCCGGCAACGGCGCCAAAAAUGCUUGUUGGGUAUUCUUAACAUCAUUACCAAAAGUAGACUAAGUUCUCUAAAUCUGGUAACGGUGCCAAAAAUGCCAAACCUAUCCCUCACACCACUUAAGCCAAGUUGUCAUCCCCAGCAUGAUAUGAGAGACGCGGUAUUGAAAUAUGCAAUUGCUCUUCUAAAUAAAUAAUGAAUGGGAUCUGCAAGCGCACAUAUUAAUACCGAUGUAGCAUUUUAACCGGGAAGUAUUCCAGGUAUCGUUAUUUAUAUUUUUACCACUGGGAAGGGAUUAGCAGUCAUCAAUAUUGAUUACAGAAUAGAAUAUGAGAUUGAGCAUCUAUCAUUGCAUAUGUAAUUGAGAACAUUUAUCUAACUCAUUCAUACAGGGAUAAGUGUCACAUAAAGGAUAUAUGAAAUAAUGAAUAGUGACAAAGAUAAUUAAUCUGAUCAGCCACAUAUAAAUAUGAUAAGCACCUCAAUUAGAUACUCUAGAAAGUCAUUAGCAUGGAAUUAGAACAAACUACAAGAAUAUUUCCUAAGUUAUUCUCAACUAUAUAGUCUAGCAUUAUCAUAGUUAGUGCAAGCAUACUUAGCAAUCAUUGUGAAACAAGACUACGCCCAUGCAUAGUGAUAUUAGCAAGGUAAAUGAGAAACAUAGUAAUCACUCUCCUGUAAUAAUAUUGCUCUGCUAGCCCAAUACACGAGAGGGGGACUAUAUAAGAAUCAAUGAAGCUGUCACUAUCACGAACUACCCCACGAUCUGGCAUAUUGGGUACAAUCGCAGAUAAAUACGGUAUAAGCACCACGCCUACACAAUAUCUAUCAUUUACCCAUGGAUCCGAUGGAUAAACGCUAUACGAUCCUAAGCAUGUAUAUAGAUCCAAUCUAACUAAGCCAAGUACAUAACUAUGAUAAACUAAGAACAAUAUAAUCUUGAAUAUAAGAAAGUAGAGCAAAGUCAUAAGCAAUAUAUUGAAGUAGAACAAAGUCAUAUUCAUAAUAUUGAAGAACAAAGAUAAUUAGAAGAACAGUUAGAAGCACAAUUAGAGAAUUACCAAGAAUCCUCUUGACAGAUCUGGAAACCAAUCGAAGAUUGACUCCUUCUAGUUCUAAUCCUAUGUAGCUAUGCUAAUCUAGAUAUCUAAUUGAUGUGGUGGCUCUAAUCUUGAUCAGAGGCUUCUUCUCCCUUGAGAAUAAUGAAUUAGGGUUGAGAGGCUCUCUCCUCCAGGGGCCAGGGGGUCUGGUUUUAUAGUCCCUUCAAGUGAAUAUGGGCCGUUGGAUCAAACCGACAUAGAUUUUAUGGUUUAGAUUCAUCCUUUAGGUCGGUGGAGAUCUCCCACGAAGCAGAGUCCUGAUUGGACUCAGGGAGGGGGCGAGCGCCUAGGGGGACAGGGCGGGCGCCCUGCCUCUGGCCCCGUUUCGUCUCCGCUUCGGUCUCGUGGCUUCUGGAGUCUUCUAGAUGUAAGAUAAUUGCGCAGCACGUUAAUAUCUCUAUGUAAUCCCGACGUGUGGGCCUUUCUUCCGUAUUUCCUGAUAACCCCCUGCAAAAAUAGACAAACACCAAAUCUCGUGGAAUUCUGUCAGAUAAAACCCUAAGUCUAGAUGUUGAUUUCAUUUGGAUCCUUUUCUUUUUUUAUUUGAUAAUUAAAUUUGAUACUUAAGGAUCGUCAACAGUGAUAUUUCCUUGUUUUGGUAUACCACAAAUAGUCAUAAGCGAUGGAGGUUCCCACUUCAUCGAUAAAGUCUUCUGGAAGUACCUAGCAGAUCAUGGAGUUCGUCAUACCGUCGCAACAGCAUACCAUCCACAGACCAGCGGUCAAGCAGAAACAUCUAACAAACAAAUCAAGAAUAUUCUGCAAAAGACCAUGGAUGAAUAGGGAAGGGAUGGAAGGACAAACUCUCUGAUGCACUGUGGGCUUAUCGAACUGCUUACAAGACGCCCAUAGGCAUGUCACCCUAUCAACUUGUAUAUGGGAAAACAUGUCAUUUGCGUGUGGAAGUAGAGUUCAAAGCUCAUCGGGCAAUCAAGAAAUGGAAUAUGGAUCUCCACCUAGCUGGUAAGAAUCGUUAGAUGCAAUUAUCUGAGUUAGAGGAGUGGAGAGAAAAGGCCUAUCAUAGCUCUAAGAUAUACAAAGAGAGAACGAAAAGAUGGCAUGAUAAGAGAAUCAAGCACAAGGAGUUUAACCCUAGAGACAAAGUUCUACUAUUUAAUUCAAGAGUUAAGCUCUUUGGACAUGGUAAAUUACGUAGUAAGUGCGAUGGACCAUAUAAGGUCAUCAAUACUUCAACCCAUGGGGCCAUUACCAUUCAAGACGAUGCAGGUAACACUUUUAAGGUAAAUGAACAACACUUGAAGAUUUAUCUUGAGCCACAAAUUAAUUCGGUAGAGGAAUUUGAUGUCAUCGAGUUCAUUGAAGUCUUACAUUAAUACUCAAUCAACCUAGGCUCUAGACAACUAAUGCAUAAACACUUAACUCUUAACAUGCUCCAUGAGUUUUGUUGUCUAUUCGAGUUCCACGGGAUUUUGGAGGACCGAGGAGAGAAAACUUAAAAUGCCAGCCAGUGGAUUGAAAGACUAUAUCAACAUUUAGCUUGGGGGAGAGGCAUGCCCCAUGUGUAUCCAGGUAAGUACCCUUACACUCUUGUUGACACCAUUUUUGGACACGUAUCUUCGGACGCGUAUCUGGGAAUUAGGAAAAUAUAGAUCGGCAGGUGAAAGAGUGGUGACUGUUUAUCAAGGAGGUUACCGAUGGGAAUUGAUGCCGAUGGCUAAAAAGCAGAAUGUGGUCAAGACUAGGGAUGGUGAUUGAUCUAUGCCGAUGACUGAUACUAGUGGUUGCCGAUGCCGAUGGAAGGUGGUUUGCCGAUUGCCAAUGACAAUAGGGGGAGGCGCAGGAGUUGCUGACAGGAUGGUGGCGGUGUGCCGAUUGCUUGUGGUAGAUAGAUUAAUGUUUUCCAUAGCUGUUAGAGUUCGUUUUGUGUGCGGAUUCCGUUCAAUUUGGAAUUAGAGUCCUAGUCGUGUCUGGUUGUAAUUCUUCUGGGCAGGGUAUAAAUGUAGACCCUGUAGCAAUGUAAUGAACAACACAAUCAAUCAAACACAAGUUUUUACAUCUAUUCUAGCAUCUACUUUUUCGAUGACUUCGUCAACUCGCAUACUUUCUUUUUACCUAUGAGUUCUUAGGAAUUCAUCGAGUCAAUCUCGGUGAGUUCUCAAGUUCCGCGUGAAUACCUCUUGGCCAUGACAUCCGGGCGCAUCACUGUUAUCGGGACCAAAGUAUUCGAGUUAUCAUCUUUGUCGAUUAUAAGGUCAAAUCGGCUGGCAUGCCUUAACGUUGAAUUGGGUAUUAGCCCUUUGUGUUUGCAGAUCUAGUUUUGCACCAACACAUCUUUUGGCACGCCCAGUGAGACUGACUCAGAUUCAUCAUCAAGAUCAACAUGUCAAACACUGAUUUCGACUUGGAGAACGUUAUCCCCGUGACGGAAGCCAAUCUCAGAGAUGAACAAAAGCAAGCUAUGGCAAAAGCUAUGGAGGACGACAAGGAGCUAUGCUUGAAAUCCUUCAGUAUCAACAGGAGCGGCGAGGUGAUCCAAAAGGAAGCAUUGCCGAUGCCUUGGCAAAUCACAUUUGAAGCUAAUCGUGGUAAACUACAAGAGAUGGUUGACAAUGCUAUCAAUCGUGCUCUAAUCAAUCAAUCCAGUGUGCUGUCCAAUACAGUUUUCAAUGCUGUGGCUAGAACUUUCAAAGAAGCACAAGUACCACUAGCUUAUGUGGGCCCGGCCUAUCAUCAGCCAGGAUCAUCAUCGGUUACGGCUCCAUCAGCUACUCAGGCCAUUACGGGUACGGAAGUUACUUCUCCUCCAAGCACAUUAGGGAUGACUAAUGGGCAAUCUACACCGAUGACGACUAAUCCAUCAAUAUCAGAGGGACAAGUUCAACUUGCCACAGAUCUAUUGGCAUCGACAAUGUCAGGGUCUGUGUUCAAGAAUUGCCAAGUUACUCCCAACUAGUGGGGAUAUGGUAUGCCCCCGGACUUUGUUGCAAAUAGUUCUGGGACAUCUCAAGUGGUUGACAUCACAGGCAAGGCUCCUAUGGCAUCGGCACCCCCAGUAUCGCCGAUGACUCAGAAUCCCCAGUAUUCUACAACUAGCACUGCAAGGCCUUUUACUAGGAAUUCUCAGAUGCCAACGUUCUAGAUGCCAAAUACAACGGCGGAUCCACUGCCGACGUAUGAAAGGUUUAUGACACAGCCAGGGUAUGUCAAUACAAUGAUGAUGCCCAAUUAUCAACCAUCGGCAGGGCCUACGCCGAUGAAUGUUAACAAUGGAUGGACAGGGCAGUUUGUCUUUCCAUAAAUAUCUCAGCAGAAUCAUCAGGCUAUGGGAUUUCAGCAGGGACCAAUGCAACUUGGGUUUCAGAAUCAAGGAUUGGUCAAUCAGCCGAUGAACCUUGCUCAGCAAGCUGGUGGCCAACAGGCGGUGGCUAAUGCUAUGUUCUCUGGAGAUCGUGCACCACAGAGACACAUAGAAGCUUAUCAGCAGGUCCCAGAUCCACAACCCGCUCAUCAGCAAGAUGUCAAUGCCUAUUGGGCUGAUAAGAUAGCUGAAGUGAUGAGAGAUCAGUUUGGGAUAAAACCCAAAGUCAACACUUAUUCUUAUCGGACACCGUAUCCUCCUGCAUAUGACUUGAUUCCACUUCCAAAUCGGUACAAGGUGCCGGAUUUCACCAAGUUCUCUGGACAGGAUGACACGUCAACCAUGGGACAUGUUAACAGGUUCAUCAUCCAGUGUGGGAAGGCUGCUAAUAGAGAUGAGUUAAGGGUUCGUUUAUUCUCAUCAUCUUUGUCUGGAUCGGCCUUUACUUGGUUUAUUUCAUUACCUCCCAACUCAGUGAUUACCUGGGCCGAUCUAGAAAAGCAAUUCCAUAAAUACUUCUUUUCUGGAGUUCAUGAGAAGAAGAUUACCGAUUUAGUCAGGCUAAAGCAGCACAAUGAUGAAUCGGUUGAAAGUUUUGUGCAAAGGUUGGGAGAUGUUAAGAAUAAAUGCUAUAGUCUGGUUCUGGAUAAUCGGCAGCUAGCUGAUUUGGCUUUCCAAGAAUUAUUGCCACAUAUCAAAGAUAAGUAUGCAUCUCUAGAGUUUGAAAGUUUAAGUCAUUUGGUGCAGAGGAUUUCUGACCAAGAUAUCAAAGCUUUUGAACCUAUGAGAGCAUGGAAUAAAAAGGUGUCAUUUGUUGAUGUGGCAACAAGCUCAGAUUCUUAUGAAGAACCAGUCAUCAGCUUGGCAGAAUGGGUAGAAAAAUAAGAAGCCGAUGUCUUGCCCUUUUGGGCAUAAGGAGCCAGAAAAGUUUGCAUUUAACAUCACCAAAGCUGAUAGGAUAUUUGACUUUCUGCUUGAGGAAGGGUAGAUUAAAUGGUCGCCUAACUAUGUAAUUCCGUCGGCUGAAGAAUUAAAGAAGAUCAAGUAUUGCAAGUGGCAUAAUGCAAUGUCUCAUAGUACAAAUGAAUGCAAAGUAUUCAGACAGCAGUUGCAAUCGGCCAUAGAGUCUGGGAGGAUCAAGUUCGACAGCACCAAAGCUCAAAAGCCGAUGAAAAUCGACCAGCAUCCUUUCCCCACAAAUAUGUUGGAUGCUAAGGGAAAGACCAAAGUCUUGACGUUAGAAGAAGCUCAGAGAAGCGCAUUGGUAGAUCCUCAACAUCAGAUCACUGCCGAUGACGCCAAGGGCAAAGGUUUAAUCCAGGAGGGCACUAGUUCUGGAAGACCUCCUUGGUCUGGCAUUGUGAUCACCCAUAGGAGACAUCGGGAAACCUGGCAGCAGCGUGAAGAUCGGUAUCGUUGCUAAGAGGAAGAUCGUCGCCGAGAAGAAGAAAGACGCCGACAAGACUGGAAUCGACAUAAAGAUCAUUGGAAUUGCUCGUUCUUCAUCCACUGUUGGGAGAAAAACAUCAAGCUACCAACUGUUAGAGAUUGCCCUGAGUGUAACGGUUAUAAUUGGUAUGAUAGACCAAAUCGGCAGUAUCAGAACAAUGAUCGGUGUUUUGAUGGGCCGAUUAGAGGAAGGACAUCAGUUCAUGAUCGGCUGGGGGCAGGCUCAGUGUGCAUGAUAGGCUUGGUGAAUGUGUUGGCUAUUUUCCAAGAAACCAAGAGGAGCUUGAGGAGAUGGCGGAUGCGCGAGUUCCCGAUGAGUUCAUAUUUUGCAGAGAUGCUAAUACUUAUCGGGUGGAAACAAGGGAAAACCGUCGUCAAUCGGUAAGGCAACCACAACUUCCACCAUGGUGUCCAGAAGGGUUGACAAGGACACAGAAGAGGAGGUUGCAACGGGAGCGACAAGAAGAAUUGAGUAGGGGAGAGAAUUCUGCCAAGUCUAGAGAUCGGCAGCAGUCAGAUCCUAAGGGAAAAGACCCAUCGACAGAUGUUAAUAUGGUGUUUAUGUUGCCAAUGGAAUUUCUUGCACCUUUCAGUGAUGAUGAGGAGAUAGAUUUCCCUGAUCAGAUAGCUCAGUUAGCUCUUGACCCGAUGACAACUAUUUUUGAAAACCCUGCUGAUGCUGAGAGGCAGCACCUUAAAGCUCUAUUUGUCAAAGGUAGGGUUGAUGGGCAGCCGAUGACCAAGAUACUUGUUGAUGGUGGGGCUACUAUCAAUAUUAUGCCAUAUGCAGUCUAUCGGAAGCUUGGAAAAGGGGAUCAAGAUUUAACCAAGACCGAUAUGAUGUUAAAGGAUUUUGAAGGAAAUGUGUCUCCAGUCAAGGGAGCCAUAUGCGUUGAGUUGACCAUCGGCAGCAAGACCUUGCCGACAACUUUCUUUGUCAUCAGUGGAAAGGGUGCUUAUAAUUUGCUGUUGGAGAGAGAUUGGAUUCAUGCCAAUUGUUGCAUUCCAUCUACAAUGCACCAAUGCUUGGUUCAGUGGGUAGGUGACAAGAUUGAAAUCGUCCCAAGAGAUUCUUCAUAUGUUAUUGCAUCGGCAGAUACUUAUGAAAAGACCAGGUGUAUUUAAGGAGAAGUUUGGGAGAAGGAUUUUCUCAAAGUUGCUGAUUAUGAAAUUCCACCGAUCCAAGCAGUCGGUUCUGAUGAAGGGUUUUAAUGGAUAGGUUCACCGAUGAUGGAAAAUUAGGCCAAGGGUUUACAUCGGUCGAUGAUUUAGUAGAAGUAGAUAUAGGUAGUGGUGAUAGGCCAAAGCCUACUUUUAUUAGUGCUAAUUUAGAUUUUGAGUGUAAACAACAGUUGACCGAUUUGUUAAAGGAAUAUAAAUAUUGCUUUGCUUGGGAUUAUACCGAGAUGCCUGGUUUAGACCGAUCGAUUGUUGAACAUCGGUUGCCUAACAAGUCUGGGUUUCGGCCACAUAGCAGCCAGCACGCUGAUGCAAUUCUAAUAUCCUACCUGAUAUUAAGGCUGAAAUAACUAAACUUAUUGAAGCUAAAUUUAUUCGGCAAUGUCGUUAUGCCGAGUGGAUUUCCAAUGUUGUUCCGGUUUACAAGAAGAACGGGAAACUGUGUCUGCAUUGACUUUAGGAAUCUUAAUAAGGCUACGCCGAUGGAUGGUUACCCAAUGCUGGUUGCGAUUUAUUAGUUGACGCUGCAGCUGGACAUCGGAUCAUUAGCUUUAUGGAUGGCAAUGCAGGAUACAAUCAAAUAUUUGUGGCUGAGGAAGAUAUUCCCAAGACUGCAUUUAGAUGUCCUGGUCAUGUUGGAUUGUUUGAAUGGAUAGUCAUGACCUUUGGUUUGAAGAAUGCUGGUGCUACUUAUCAGAGGGCUUUGAAUUUUAUCUUUCAUGAGUUCAUCGGCAAGAUAGUUGAAAUUUAUAUCGAUGACGUGGUGGUUAAGUGUGGAUAUUUCACAAAGCAUCUUGCUGAUCUGCGAGAAGUGCUGGAGUGCACAAGGAAGCAUGGUUUAAAGAUGAAUCCUAAUAAAUGUGCAUUUGGCGUGUCGGCAGGACAAUUUUUUGGUUUCAUGGUGCAUCAGAGAGAGAUUGAAAUUAGUAGGAGAUCUAUUGAUGCCAUCAACAAGAUAGUUGCUCCCACCAAUAAGACUGAACUUCAAUCACUGAUCGACAAGAUAAAUUUCAUCAGACGAUUUAUAUCUAAUUUGUCUGGUAAGAUUUGUGCUUUUAGUCCUUUGCUUAAGUUGAAAGCCGAUCAAGAGUUCGUGUGGGGGAAAGAGAAACAGUUAGCGUUGGAUGAAAUCAAUAAUUAUUUAACAAAUCCUCCAGUUCUGAUUCCACCUCAGCAAGUAAAGCCUUUCAAAUUAUAUUUGUCUACCGAUGGGAUGGUCAUUGGUUCAGCUCUAAUUCAAGAAUUUGAAGGGAAGGAGCGUGUGAUUUAUUAUCUAAGUAGAAGACUGGUGGAUGCUGAGACAAGGUAUUCGGCAAUUGAAAAGUUGUGUUUAUGUUUAUACUUUUCUUGUAUCAAAUUAAGGCACUAUUUGCUGUCGGCCGAAUGCUGUGUUAUAUGCAAAAAUGAUGUCGAUACAUGUUAUCUAUGCUGAUUAUGAGUGGUAGAAUCUGCAAGUGGAUUUUGGCAUUGUCGGAAUUGGAUCUACGCUAUGAAUCGGCUAAAGCGGUUAAAGGGCAGAUUAUGGCCGAUUUUGUGACUCAGCAUUGCGGUGUGGUGAAUGCCUUGGAAAUUGUUCCUUGGACGCUCUUCUUUGAUGGAUCGACAUGCGACUGAGGGGCAGGAAUCGGUAUAGUACUAAUUUCUCCUCGAGGAAAGAAGUAUGAGUUUUCUUUGCCGAUUGUUGCCACGUCAACAAAUAAUCAAGCUGAGUACCAAGCUCUGAUCAAAGGGUUGGUAUUAUUGAAGGAAGUUCAUGCUGAUGCUGUUGAAAUCUUCGGCGAUUCUAUGCUUGUUAUAAAUCAACUAGUCGGAAAUUAUGAAUGUCGAAGUGAGGUUUUAAUAACCUACCAUGAGAAGUGCAUACAAUUGUUGAAAGAAUUCAAGGAUUUCCGGUUGGAGCAUAUUCCUCAGUUACAUAAUGAGGAAGCUAACCGAUUGGCUCAGCAUGCUUCGGGAUAUCAACCCAUCUUGGGCGUAUUAUCGGCAAUCAAUGCCGAUGAUUGGAGAGGGGAGAUUGUUGAUUAUUCAAAAGAUCCAUCCAGGAAGGUUGAGAGGCGUGUUAGGUUUCAAGCAACAAAGUAUGUACUCCUCGAAGGAGAGUUGUAUUAUCGGACAAUAGAUGGAGUUUGGCUUAAAUGUUUGAGUAAUGAUGAGGCUAGAAGCUUGAUGGGUGAGAUCCAUGAAGGAGUGUGUGGAGCACAUCAGUCGGUUUUUAAGAUGAAGUGGAUGAUUAGGAGAAACAGAUAUUAUUGGCCGACUAUACUUGAGGAUUGCUUUAAAUAUUUCAAAGGAUGUCAAGGAUGUUAGAAGUUUGGCAAUAUUCAAAGGGCACCCACAUCGGCCAUGAAUCCUAUUAUUAAGCCUUGGCCGUUCCGGGGAUGGGCUAUUGAUCUAAUCGGCUAGAUUUAUCCGCCAUCAAGCAAGGGGCACAAGUUCAUUUUGGUUGCCACUGACUAUUUUACUAAAUGGGUUGAAGCUAUUCCUUUGAAGAAAGUAACAUCGGCUAACAUGAUUGAUUUCGUGAAAGAACAUAUUGUUUACCAAUUUGGUAUUCCUCAAACAAUCACUACCGAUCAGGGUACUAUGUUCACAUCAGGAGAGUUUGAUGAAUUUGCAAUCGGUAUGGGGAUUAAAGUAUUGAAUUCUUCUCCUUACUAUGCUCAAGCCAAUGGACAAGCCGAAGCGUCUAAUAAAGGGAUUAUUAAGCUCAUCAAGCGAAAGAUUGAAGAAAAUCCUAGAAGAUGGCACACAUUAUUGAAUGAAGCUUUGUGGUCAUAUCGGAUGGCGUGUCAUGGAUCGACCAAAGUUUCGCCCUAUGAGUCGGUAUAUGGACACGAUGCAGUGCUACCAUGGGAAUUAGGACUGGAUCUAGACGAGUGUCUUUUCAAGAUCAAUUGACUGCCGAUGAUUAUGCAAUUUUAAUGAAAGAUGAGUUGGAUGAUUUGGCAGAGCAUCGGUUGAGAGCUUUGAUGAGUAUAGAAGAAAAUAAAAAGUGAGUUGCUAAAUGGUAUGACAAAAAGGUAAAAGUUAAGGAGUUUGCCGAUGGAGAUUCGGUAUGGAAAUUGAUUCUACCGAUUGGGACUAAGAGUUCAAAAUUUGGAAAAUGGUCUCCUAAUUGGGAAGGUCCUUAUCGGGUAAACCGGUCUGCUCCUGACAACGCUUAUAUUUUAGAAACUCUCGAAGCAGUUGAGUUUCCCAAAGCAUUAAAUGGAAAAUAUUUAAAGAAGUAUUACCCAAGCAUCUGGAUCGAUGCAUAAAAGUUCAAAUGCCGAUAACACUCCUAUCGGCUGGAUGAAAUGUAUCUAAGAUCAUAUAUGAUGUUUUAAGGUGCCGAUAACAGUCCUAUCGGCUAGACCAGAAUGAUAAAAGUUUCUAAGGACAGUGCUUGCCGAUGAAAAGCUCAUAGGUUCAGCAAACCUUGGAUAGUUGAUAUGGCGCGUAGUCGAAUGUGGUUGGCCUCUUCUAUCUCCCGGAUAUCCUCAUCGGCAGAACCCUCUACCGGCUUCAGCUUCUUUUUCAUCUGCAGUGCCUUACAAGCCCAGGUGUUUCGUUCUUGCUGAAGAGUCUUGAGCAUCUCAGGCAGCUGGCUUUCUUCUUACUGAGCUUGGGUCAGAGCUUCUUCUACUUGUUUGAGCUCAGCUAGCAGGGCUUCCCCUCUUACUGAUAGGUCGGAGAUCUUUUUGUUUCAGUGUAUCUCCCAAGGACUGCAGAAUACCGAUGCUUUUGUGCUUCUCAUCGGCAAUAUGCUUUACUUGCAUUACUUUCUCUAAGAGUUGGGCGUAAGUGGCUCUAUCGGCAAGACGCUGGGUAGCCUUCUGCUAUUGGAGCUGGCGGCUCUCUAAGUGUGCAGCCUGGAAUAGAAUUUCUUCUGCAUGGGCUGGGAUCUGGCCUUGAAGAGUCUUGAAUAAAGCUUUGGUUGGAUCGGAAUCAUCUACUAACUAGGUAGUGUCUUGAUGCAACAGAGACAGUAGGUUUUCUAGCUUAGCUUUAAUCUCUGUCGAUGAGAUUCCUAUUGCUUGAGAGGAGCUCGCUUCUUCACCUUCGUCAUCGGAGAUGUCGAUAGCAAAGGAGAAUAAGCUGUCUGGAGAGUCUUGUUCCUAAAAAAGGAAUAGAGAUAAGUUAUCUGAUAAUCGAAUGUUGAUAAUAAAGGGUGAAGAUUAGAAACUUACUUGCUUCAGAGUGAUUUCGCGCCUUUGACGAGUGGAUGCGGCCGGUACUAUAGGUUGAUCGGCUGGAGUUGCCGAUAGAACAAUGUCAACUGAGAAAUUACAAGGUUAAUUAUAAUUUGUAAAAAUAAAUCCAUCAAUGAUAAUUUUGUGGCCAGUACUUUACCUUGAGGGGGUGCAGUGCUUGUUUGUUCUGGAGGAACAACCGAUGAUAUAAUCAGAACCGCUGGAUCAGCAGUUUGCUCAAGUACAUCGGCUAGUGCUUCUUGUGGCUGAGGUGCUGGUUGAGGAGGGUAUGGUACUUUCUGUGUCUGGAUUUCUGGUGAAGAGGGGGAUGAUUCCACAUGAAUCGGUGACACUGGACGAGGAGGAGAAGAUGGUGCUGUCCUCUGGCGCUUUUGUUGCGACUUGGUGCUCUUGGGGCCUUUUCUCUUGAUCUAGCUAGGCUGGGGGGCAUCGGCACUUGUUUGGGCGCUUCUAGUCUUUGCCGAUUUGCCAGUUUGCUGUUACAACAAUCAAGAUUUCAUGAGUAAAAGUGUGAAAGAGUAUUGAUGAAAUUUUAUUGGAAAAAUAAAAGUUACCGAUGAAGUUCCCGUGGCAGUCGAUGUACCCUGAAAAGGUUGUGUGAGUACGAGACAAGAUCAGUAUAAGCAAAAGAAAUUAAGAGUCUACCUUGAAAGCCUGUGCCAGAGUGGCAGGGGCAACCGAUGGAGAGGUCUUCGACUGCUUGGUGGUCGUCUUCUUGAAGCGUACGUUCCGAUGCGCCAGGGCUGCUAAACUUGGUGCGUUAUGACCGAUCAAAGAGAUUGGACCUGAUGGAAGGAGUUCGAUCGGUCUUCCACUCCUGCUGACUGUCGGGGCUGGAUUGUCGACCUGUUAAAAUGAAAACAAGUAAGUUACCGAUAGGAACAGAAGUGAUAAAGGAACUAAGAUUUCGGUCGAAGACUUACAGUGUUAUCAGGAACUUUAUAGUUGGGAUCGAUCAUGCCACGAUAUGUCAGAGCUGAUCUGUUGAACAAGUGUUCCUUCCAUUCUUCCCACCACUGUUUAUACAUCUAGGUAAUGAAGAGGGCCGGAAUCCAAGCCGAUAAAUCGAUAUAUGACGUAUCGGCAUUUGGUUGAAGCUCGGCUAUCCUUAUCCAUUCGAGUCCGCUGGUUAUAGUUUCCCUUGGCUUCACCGCAUCGGCAUAACAAAGUCUAAUCGGCAGCUGCCCAAAAGCCAGUUGACGAGCUAGUGCCGAUGGGCUAUAAAAUUCAUAAGUGGGGUUGGAGUUCUUCCCACUGCCGAAAGUAUUCACUGGAAUGGCUGUUAACGGUCCUUAAGUACUAAAUUUAACCAUCAACUAAACAUGGAAAAGGAUCAAUAUGCACCAAACAUCUAGAAUUAGGGUUUUAUCUGACAGAAUUCCACGAGCUUUGGUGUUUGUCUAUUUCUGUAGGGGUUUAUCAGAAAAUAUGGAGAGAAGGCCCACAUGUCAUGUUUACAACGAGAUAAUUACGUGCUGCGCAAUUUUCAUUAAUCUAGAAGAGUCCAGAAGCCACGGGAACGAACGGGAGACCGGACGGGCCCAGGGGUAGGGCGCCCGCCCUCCCCCCUUGGGCGCCCACCCUGGCCUCGGGGCCAAUCAGAAUUAAUCUCCUAGAUUAUGCUCCACCGACCUAAAGGAUCAAGGAAAACCGUGAGAUCAAUGUCGGUUUGAUCUGACAGCCCAAAUUCACUUGAAAGGACUAUAUAAUCAAUGCCUCUCCAUCCCGGGGGAGGGAGGAGAAAUCAUUAUCAGAGGUAGCCAUCAAAGUUAGGGUUUAGAACUUCUCUCCCACAGAGAAUUAGAAUUAGCUACUCCCUAAUCCUUCAAGUUUAGAGGAUUGAUUAGAUAGGAAUUAGAGAAGUAGAGCACUACGCUCUGGAUUUGAAUCUUCGUUAAUAAAGAUUGGUAUUAUUUCAUAUCUUUCUCUACUACUUUGUUCUAAUUGCAUUAUGUCUCUAUUUGUUAUGCUCUUAGUUUGCUCUAGUUCUAUAUUUGAUAUAGUUAAGAUUGAUAAGGAGUUUAUGCAUAAGUUUGCAAAGCGCUUAGCUCUUAACACGUGGGAGUUAAGUGGUAGAUCAUAUGUAGGCGUGGUGCUUAGAUAUUAUUUACCUACAAAUGUAUCCUAUUGGCCGGGUUGUGUGGUAGUUCACGAUAGUGAUAGCUUCGUUGAUUCUUAUAUAGUCCACCCUCCAUUGAUAGGACACGCAGAAUUUGUAUUGCGGAGUAAGUCUUGCGAUGCUCUGAUUUACUUUAGCAAUGUUCCUUAUACAUGAAUGAAGAGUCUUUUAUGCUAUAUAUGAUCUUGUAGAUAACUAGAGUAGAUUGUGACUUAGUAGAUAGUAGAUAACUUAGAAUCCAUUCUCUAGCUAAUCCGACGUCAUCUUACAUAUAUGAGGAGUAGUCUAUUUUCUAAUCGCUGUGUUAUUUACCCAUUAGCUUAUAUUUCAUUAUCAUUAUUAUUAUGGCUUACCCCCUGCCAAAGUAAGUGACUGUGUGACGAGUUCCUCAUUAGUAAUCAUGUUCUUGCAAGUUUAUCUCUAGUCUAUGCCUUGAUAGAUUUUAUUUAUCUCCCUUGUGAUUAAGCAAAAUUAUAAAUAACGAUACCUGGAAUACUUAUCCUGGUGAAAUGCUACAAUGAGGUGUUUUAUCUGUGCGCUUGCGGAUAGAAUAGAUUAUUUUCUAGAGAGCCUUUACAUUUAUAAAUACCUUUGUACACUCUGGCACCAUGCUGGGGAUGACAACCUAGUAUCCAAGUGGUGUUAGUAAGUGUCAACAAGCAUUUCUGGUGUCGUUGCCGGGGAACAAAACGCAAAAAGGGAAACACAUAGGAACGGUAAGGAAAGUCAGGAAAUUAGUCAAGGUUAUUCACACAAAAUAUUAGACUAGACUAUAGAGAAAUAAUUGCAUAAAACAGCUACUAAGUGAGAAAUCAUAACAAGGCACCUCUGCUUUGGCAGGUUCACCCUUUUGUUUUUCUAUGUUUAUAUUUUUAUACAAGGUAUAUCAAGAUUGACUUUGGUACAUUCAACUCUUCAUCAUCAGAACCAAAGCAAUCAAGAAAGAAGAAGGUACCUACCAAUUGCUGAAGCUAUGGCACAAAAGACCUUGUAAGAAUUCUCUGCUCCGAGUCUUGAGAACAUUCCAACUGGUCCAAGAUUUGCAGUAGAAGAAGGAUCAUCUGAGUUUGAGCUCAAGUCAAGCCUCAUCAAUUUGGUACAAGCUACACAAUUCAGUGGAAAGGCACAGGAAGAUGCUAGUGCACACUUGCAGAAUUUCUUAGAGAUUGGAAGCACAAUCCGCAUCAAUAGAGUCGACAAAGACGUCAUACUGCUUCGCCUCUUGCCGUUCUCACUAGAAGGGAAGGCGAGGAAGUGGUUCUACACUCAUCAAGAUAACAUCAACAACUGGAUGAACUUGUCAGAUGCCUUUCUAUCAAAGUUUUUCCCAAUGGGCAAGACAGCUGCCUUAAGAGGAAAUAUUGUCGGUUUCCAACAGCAGAAAACAGAAACCAUUUCAGAAGCAUGGGAGCGUUUUCAAGGAUACAUAUCAGAUUGUCCUCACCAUGGAAUGGCCACAUGGUUACUUAUACAGACCUUCUACCAUGGAUUAACCCAGAAGGUUCGUGAGUGCCUAGAUGCAUCUGCUAAGGGAUCAUUCUUGGAGCUUACAAUUGGAAAAGCAGAGAUCCUUUUGGAUAAGAUAGCAGAAAACCAAAGCUGGUUCCAAGAUGAAGCUCAACAAUGUCAUCAAACUAAAGAAAUACCAGAAGAAGUAAAUGCAUUAUCAACCAAGAUGGAAAAAUUGCUCCAUUGGAUUGACUAGAGGGCCAAGUUCAAAGAAGAUCAAAGGGCCAUUGAGACAGCAUACAAAUAUCAACGUACCUCGAGUCAACCCAAUAGCAAAGGUAUGAAUUCAGGUAAUACUUUCAAGCAACUUUCAUUAAAAGAGAUAAUUGCUCAACAAAUAAAAACUAAUGAUGAAGUUAAACAAAGGCUAGAUACAAAUGGAUCAUCUCUAGAAGAUAUACACAAUAAAAUGGAUUUUCUAUCAAAUGCCUUUGAUGAGCAAAACACUCUCAAUAAAAGGUAGAGCUUAAAUUAAUAAAGCUAGCUGCUACAUUGCAUGUUGCCACUAACAUUGAGCAUGUAAAGAACAUAACUACUAGAGGAGGCAAAGCCACCAGGGAUCCCCCAUACCUAGAAGAGAAACAAAGAACAUCAGCACUAGUGCAACCAGCAGUGAUAGAAGAAGAAAGCCCAGUUGAAGCAGAAGAUCUACUACAACCACCAAGAACUGGAGAAAUGAGGAAAGAUUUUUACGACACCAACUAUCUGCCAUUUCCCAGAAGGUACAGAGGACUGCAGUGGGAUGAGCAGUUUGGUAAGUUUGUAGAGGUCAUUCAGAAAUUAUAUGUCAACAUACCUCUACUCGAUGCCAUACAGGUACCUACAUAUGCAAAGUACAUAAGAGAUAUUCUUAACAAGAAGAGACCACUGCCCACCACUGAGGUUAUCAAGCUGACAGAAGAAUGUAGUGCGGCCAUCCUCAACAAACCACCAAGGAAGAAGAAGGAUCCAGGAUGCCCCACUAUUGAUUGCUCGAUCGGAAACCAACACUUCAACAAUGCACUUUGUGAUCUCGGAGCAAGUGUCAGUGUGAUGCCAGCAUCAGUCUACGAGAAGCUUGAGCAUAUGACCCUAGAACCAACAUCAAUGUGCCUACAACUAGCAGAUCAAUCAGUUCGACACCCGUUGGGUAUCGCCGAAAACAUUCCAGUCAAGAUCAGAGAUUUCCUUGUGCUAGUAGACUUCGUGGUACUGGACAUGAGUCCUGACUCAAAAGUGUCCAUCAUCCUUGGAUGGCCAUUUCUGAGCACUGCCAAUGCUCACAUCGAUGUUGGGAAAAGAGAAAUCAAGUUCAACAUAAACAGAAAAGAAGAACACUUCACAUUCAAGCCCAGACCAGAGAGAGACUCUACAGUGAAGGAAGUUCAUGAAGAAGAACCACUGAAGACACCAUCUUCGGAGGAAGGUAAUUCAGAAGAUUAAAAUAUUUGGAAGUCCAGCUUGGGGGACCUAAAAAUCCCAAACCCUCGCCGGGAGGUAAAUCGGUAUUUAUCCGCAUCAUUAAUUCUCUCAUAUUUAAUUCUUGCAUUAGUCAUAUUUAUUCAUAGCAUUAUUACAAUAAUCAAAAGCCCCAUAUAAAUAAUAUUUAUGGUGUGUAACAAUGCAUAUUUAUUAAUUAUUGUGGAGGCACAAAAAUAUUUUCCAUUAUCAUUUCAAUAAGUUUCAAUUCUCAUAGAUUUUCCUGCAUUAUAUUUAAUUACAGUAACCUUCUAGAAGCAUGACCCACACUCCUUGGGUCCCACAUGUCAUACACCACACCUCACACACAUCCCAUCACAUUAUUUGAUCCACCAACAUAACUCCACUCACCAGCACUUUUCCACCGACCAAACACCACCCAUGAACUAUUAUUAUGCGUAAGAGCCAAGCAAAGGAGGGAGUGGAGAAAAGGCAGCCAGGAUGGCCACCAAAGGUGGGCGCCCGCCCACCUACAAAGGGUGCCCGCCCUGUCCCCCUUUCCUCCUAUAAAUUGCCACUUCCUACCUCCAACUUCUUCAGACAAGCAUUCCAGAAAACCACGCAAGUUUCAGUUUCCAGAGAAGGAGCUCUUGUAGUGAAGUGAGAAGGAGAGUAGAGAGGAAGAGAAGAGUGGAAGAGAGGUUGGUAGUCUCUGAGUGAGAGAAUAAGGUUCACCAAGUAAGUAGUGAUCCCGCUGUCCAGAGCGGAAGUAAACGUUGUUUAGGGGGAGGUACUACCAAAAUAAAAACUUGUCUUAAACGACUAACCCCUGGACUACUAACAUUUCGGACAGCUGACCACUAACAUUUUCUCUCACAUUUUCCACUAGUUGUGUGUGUGUCAAAUUUUGUCUAUAGGAUGUUCAAGAAGGUAAAGAACGCAGGGAAGGCCCUCAAGAAAAUUGGUACGAGGAGCUCGUCCCGACACUCCUCGCACCAGUCAGAGAUGAGCAUUGACCCGACGCCCCCGCAAGCUCCAUCAUCUUCAUCUGAUCAGCAAGUCAAGGUCCUCCUCAAGAUAGGAGACCUUGGACUGAAGACCCGCAGGGAAAAGGAAGUUUACCAGCAGCUAAAGAAUAAGGAUUUCAUUCACACUGUUGGGUAUUCUUAACAUCAUUACCAAAAGUAGACAGUUUUCUAAUUCUAGUAACGGUGCCAAAAAUGCCAAACCUAUCCCUCAUACCACUUAAGCCAAGUUGUCAUCCCCAGCAUGACAUGAGAGACGCGGUAUUGAAAUAUGCAAUUGCUCUUCUAAAUAAAUAAUGAAUGAGAUCUGCAAGCGCACAGAUUAAUACCGAUGUAGCAUUUUAACCGGGAAGUAUUCCAGGUAUCGUUAUUUAUAUUUUUACCACUGGGAAGGGAUUAACAAUCAUCAAUAUUGAUUAAAUAAUUGAAUAUGAGAUUGGGUAUCUAUCAUUGCAUAUAUAAUUGAGAACAUUGUAUCUAAUUCUUUCAUACAGGGGUAAGUGUCACAUAAAGGAUAUAUAAAGUAAUGAAUAGUGACAAAGAUAAUUAAUCUGAUCAGCAUAACUUAGCCACAUAAUAAAUAUGAUAAGCACCUCAAUUAGAUACUCUAGAAAGUCAUUAGCAUGGUAUUAGAACGAACUACAAGAAUAUUCCCUAAGUUAUUCUUAACUAUAUAGUCUAGCAUUAUCAUAGUUAGUGCAAGCAUACUUAGCAAUCAUUGUGAGACAAGACUACGCCCAUGCAUAGUGAUAUUAGCAAGGUAAAUGAGAAACAUAGCAAUCACUCCCCUGUAAUAAUGUUGCUCUGCCAGCCCAAUACACAAGAGGGGGACUAUAUAAGAAUCAAUGAAGCUGUCACUAUCACGAACUACCCCACGAUCUGGCAUAUUGGGUACAAUCGCAGAUAAAUACGGUAUAAGCACCACGCCUAUACAAUAUCUAUCAUUUACCCAUGGAUCCGAUGGAUAAACGCUAUACGAUCCUAAACAUGUAUAUAGAUCCAAUCUAACUAAGCCAAGUAUAUAACUAUGAUAAACUAAGAACAAUAUAAUCUUGAAUAUAAACAAGUGGAGCAAAGUCAUAAGCAAUAUAUUGAAGUAGAACAAAGUCAUAUUCAUAAUAUUGAAGAACAAAGAUGAUUAGAAAAACAAUUAGAAGCACAAUUAGAGAAUUACCAAGAAUCCUCUUGACAGAUCCGGAAACCAAUCAAAGAUUGAAUCCUUCUAGUUCUAAUCCUAUGUAGCUAUGCUAAUCUAGAUAUCUAAUUGAUGUGGUGGCUCUAAUCUUGAUCAGAGGCUUCUUCUCCCUUGAGGAAUAAUGAAUUAGGGUUGAGAGGCUCUCUCCUCCAGGGGCCAGGGGGUCUGGUUUUAUAGUCCCUUCAAGUGAAUAUGGGCCGUUGGAUCAAACCGACAUUGAUUGAACGGUUAUCCUUGAUCCUUUAGGUCGGUGGAGAUCUUUCCCGAGAGAAAGUCCUGAUUGGACUCAGAGAGGGGGCGGGCGCCCAGGGCAACUGGGUGGGCGCCCAGUGCCUGGCCCCGUUCGGCCUCCGCUUCCUUCCUGUGGCUUCUAGAGUCUUCUAGAUGUAAGAUAAUUGCGCGGCACGUUAAUAUCUCUAUGUAAUCCCGACGUGUGGGCCUUUCUUCCGUAUGUCCUGAUAACCCCCUGCAGAAAUAGACAAACACGAAAACUUGUGGAAUUCUGUCAGAUAAAACCCUAAGUCUAGAUGUUGAUUUCAUUUGGAUCCUUUUCUUUGUUUAUUUGAUAAUUGAAUUUGAUACUUAAGGACCGUCAACAAACUCCCCCAAGCUUACCUCUUGCUCGUCCCUGAGCAAGGAUAGAUUACAAGUUGCUGCAAUAAUUAAAAAUUGACGGUACACAUGCUUUUUAAAUAAAGUCUCAUCUCUGAGUUAGAGUAAACUGUCAAGACUUAAAACUUACUUACUUUACCUUCACCAUGGGACAUGUAACCGUCACUUCUGUCUUGAGUAGUUAAAAGAUAGAAUAGUCUAGUCAAGUGCCAUGUCUCUUAUUCUUGAUCAGCUAUAGCUCUGGAGUUUUUGCAGAUUUUCAUAUAAAACUCAGAGAUUCCUUGUAUGACUCUCUCAUAUCUCUCUUUUGUGGUAUUUUUGGAUCCUUACCAAGGCAGUGAUGGUAUAUGCCUUCUCUCAAAAUAUGUGGCAUUUAUGGUAUAAAGCAUAGUGACAUUGUCUUCUCUCUCACCCUACUCUAAUAAGGCUUUAAUAUCUGGAGCUCAUAGGUGGGAGAUAAAGUAUACAUACUUACAAGACAUUUAUUGUAUAGUCAAACUAUGGAUCCAAAGAAACAAAUCAAUAAGCCAAAUCAAGAUGUGCAUGUGUGGCGAAUGAAUGGUGUAUGGUGAUGAUGGUGAUAAUAAUGGUGAAAGUCUAAUUCUACUUUUGCUCUUUUGAGGGGAUACAUACCUUCCUUGCUUUCUGAAACUUUAUGAGGAGAAUGAGAUGCUCUUCUUUUUCUUUCCUCUCAGGUGGGUAUCUUGUACCCCUAAUUCUACUGUCAGACACUUGUCCAUUUUUACCUCUCGUCUUACUUUUUCUUUUCUUUCGAGGUUACGGGCACUUGCCCCUUUUUAUUUCCUCGUAUACUUUUUUUCUUUCUUCUUUUUUUUAGAGCACUCAUCUCUUGAGAUAAUAUAGCAAGUGGUAGUAACAAGAUAACUUGAGCAUUUAUUUCACAAGGGAAAAACAUAAAUGUUUUUGGCUAUUCUCUCCCGGAUUAGGAGUAGAAUAUUUUUGGGUGAUUCUGGUGAUGGAAAUGGGUGGAUAUAUGUGGAUGGUACUUCCGGAGUAGAAGCAACAUAUGUGAGUGAACGUGCAAGUGAAAUCUUGAUUUAACCACAUGACAAGCUCCUAAGGGUCUACACAACUUGACCACACUCAAUGCUCAUAAGCAGUAAAAAGUAAAUGUGUCGCUCAAAGUCUAGCAAGCAUGUAUAUAUGGCUGUGGUAGGACUUUAAACUCUCAUCAUACAGGAACUCAUCAUGCAAUAUUUUAAAGAUUUUUUAAAGAUAAAAUUCUCCAGAAUUCUAGCAUCUAUAGGAACAGAUAAACAGCAGCUCAACCUUCCCAUAUCAUAUCCGUUAACAACUUAGACUUCAGAUCAAGUUUUCUUCCCACAAGUUCAGGUUUAGAGCAAGCUUUAAAUUAUAACAGUUAUGUCUAAACUUGAGAGAGAACUUCAUAUUUUUUAAAAAUUAAGCAGAGCAACUAUUCAUCAUAUCCAUGCUAGAGUUUAUUAUUAAGAUUAAGAUUCGCAUAGCCACUUUAUUUAUUUAUUAAACACACUAAGCAAAAGACAUAUAUAUAAGCACAAAAUCUUUAUUUGGUUUUUCAUGUUUAUGUAUAUUUAUAGUAUAUGUAUAAAGAUAGAUAGAAAUACUUAUCGGGAUAAAUGAGGGUGCUGUCCCCCAAGCUGAUUUUUGACGUAAUUUCUCUUGAUGUAGCUAGCAGGUGGCAGAGGUGUAUUUGAAAGUUAGCAGCAUUCUAACAGCGAUUAGAAUGUCCUCCGUCUGCUAGUCUUCUUGAUUCUUAAAUCAUGUGGAGCUCAAAUAGACAACAAAGCUUUGUGGAACUGAUUAAGUGUUAGCAUAAAUAUCUAGCCUUUAUCAUGUUGAGUCUCCUCAAUAAAUGUUACUCCCUAUUUUUAUAUUUCCAUUUUAUAAGGCAGAAAAUAAAUAUUUAUUUUAUUUUUAUGCCACCACAGUGAAUGUACUUAUGGGUUUUAUGCCACUCGUAUACUCACAUGGGGCUUACUAUUUUUUAACAUUUUUAUUUUCUUUUUAGGAUAGUACGAACAUAAUUAACUAAGCAAACUAUUUGAAAUAAUUGAAAGGGAAAGGAUAACUACCAAGUUUACCUCUUGGCAAGGCGUUCUGUGUUUUUAAGUCCUCCGAACGGGACUCUCCUCUUUUUCAAUUGUCCUAGGAUUUGUUGGGUGGCGUAGUCGGUACUUCCGGCAGCGCCUCCUCUUCAUGCAUAGUUAUCUUCUCUUUCCACACCUGACUUGGUGCUAUGGUCUCCUCAGGAUAGUUCUGUUUAAAUUCUACGUCUUCUGACCUUACCACUUCUCCUUCGUAGUCUGCCCAUCCGUCCUUGAUGAUUUGCCUCCUCUGGUUGCGGUUGCGUCGUUUUCUUACCUGCUUAGAUUCUUCAAAGAUAUAGUUAGGGUCAGUAAAAUAACGGCGUACCUUCUCUGAGGGGAAGUGCAUAUGGACUUCUCCGGUUCCAAUGUAGAUGAUUGCUUUAACGGUGGUAAGGAACGGUCUUCCAAGGAUGAUGGGUGGAUCGUAUUCAUCUUCUCCCAUGUCAAUAACCUGAAAGUCUGUGUAGACAAAAUGAUCGUCUAUUUUGACUGGGACAUCAGUUACUGUUCCUUUAACUUCUCGAAAUGUCUGAUCUGCCAUCUGGAGCUGAAUGUGUGUUGGUUUUAGGGGCAUGGUUCCGAACAAGAGCCGUUAGGUGACUGCGGCCAUUAGCUGAAUGUGUGUUGGUUUUAGGGGCAUGGUUCCGAACAAGAGCCGAUAGGUGACUGCGGCCAUUAUGUUGACGCCCGAUCCGGUGUCACAAGUAGUCUUGUAGAAGUUGUAUCCAUUUAUGGAGCAAUAGAUGCUUGGCAUUCCUAGGUCGUCCUUCUUGGUCAAAAAUGGUGACUUAAGUUGAUGAUCUUGACCUCCAUGAACUGCAGUGACCAUCUUAGCUGACUCGGUCCACACUUGCUUGUUCCUGUUCCUCCUGUUGGUCCUCUUCCUUGAUUCACGUCUGGAUUGAUCUAGGAUUUGUGUAGUCUUGUUCUUGAAGAAAAACGUCUCCUUCUUCCCUUUGAUGUAGAAACUGAUCUUGGCAGCACUAGCGUAGAUGAUAGCUCCCGAGGUGUUCAAGAAUGGCCUCCCUAAGAUGAUGGGUGCUCUCUCAUCAUUACCGGUCUCUAUCACCACGAAGUCUGCUAGGGCAUACAAGGUACCAACUCGGACACAAAGGUUCUUCAAUAUUCCUUUGGGGAAACUUAAUGCCUGAUCUACAAACUGCAAACACAUGGUUGUUUCUAAUAAAGGAUAUGUAAAGAAUUUUUCAUAGAGUACCCUGGGUAUAAUGUUGACACUAGAGCCAAAGUCACA
This 39457-nucleotide long non-coding RNA is filed under the name Sorghum bicolor (sorghum). RNAcentral describes it as "long non-coding RNA (SBIC_LNC013951)". The stretch from base 16257 to 16363 matches the Rfam family "Plant small nucleolar RNA R71". The record is from RNAcentral. Lineage: Eukaryota; Viridiplantae; Streptophyta; Magnoliopsida; Poales; Poaceae.